Molecule: ribosomal RNA, 513 nt
Filed under: uncultured bacterium
Lineage: Bacteria
Description: partial 16S ribosomal RNA
Rfam family: Bacterial small subunit ribosomal RNA
Source: RNAcentral
GACGAACGCUGGCGGCGUGCUUAACACAUGCAAGUCGAACGAGAGCGUAGAGAAAGCUUGCUUUUUCUACAAUCUAGUGGCAAACGGGUGAGUAACACGUAAACAACCUGCCCUACGGAUGGGGACAACAGCUGGAAACGGCUGCUAAUACCGAAUACGUUCCGAAAGUCGCAUGACUAUCGGAAGAAAGGAUGGCCUCUAUUUAUAAGCUAUCGCCGGAGGAGGGGUUUGCGUCUGAUUAGCUAGGUGGAGGGGUAACGGCCCAACAAGGCGACGAUCAGUAGCCGGGCUGAAGGGAUGAACGGCCACAUUGGAGCUGAGACACGGUCCAGACCCCUACGGGAGGCAGCAGUGGGGAAUCUUCCGCAAUGGGCGAAAGCCUGACGGAGCAACGCCGCGGGAGGGAAGACGGCCGUCGGGUUGUAAAGCUCUGUUAUACGGGACGAAUAAUCUUGUGGUUAAUACCCAUGAGAAGUGACGGUACCGUAAGAGAAAGCCACGGCUAACUACGUG